UUCACCUACCAUACGACACAGAAGGCACCGGUUUCCCUCCGAUCACCUAAGUUAAACUAUGUCGGUUUAGUACUUGCAUGGGUGAUUGGUCGGGAACACCCGAUGUUGCCGACU
Molecule: ribosomal RNA, 114 nt
Filed under: Hymenolepis diminuta
Lineage: Eukaryota; Metazoa; Platyhelminthes; Cestoda; Cyclophyllidea; Hymenolepididae
Source: RNAcentral